GAUCAUUAUCGUAGGGCUUCGGCCCUGUCGAGAUAGAACCCUUGCCUUUUUGAGUACCUUUCGUUUCCUCGGCAGGCUCGCCUGCCAAUGGGGACCACAAAAAACACUUUGCAGUACCUGUAACAGUCUGAACAAACAAAACAAAAAUUAAAACUUUCAACAACGGAUCUCUUGGUUCUGGCAUCGAUGAAGAACGCAGCGAAAUGCGAUAAGUAGUGUGAAUUGCAGAAUUCAGUGAAUCAUCGAAUCUUUGAACGCACAUUGCGCCCUUUGGUAUUCCUUAGGGCAUGCCUGUUCGAGCGUCAUUUAAACCUUCAAGCUAAGCUUGGUGUUGGGUGACUGUCCGCUUCACUGCGGACUCGCCUCAAAAUUAUUGGCGGCCGGUACAUUGGCUUCGAGCGCAGCAGAAACGCGAACUCGGGCCCGUCGUAUUGGCUCCCAGAAGCUAUCUUCACAAUUUUGACCUCGGAUCAGGUAGGGAUACCCGCUGAACUUAAGCAUAUCAAUAAGCGGAGGA
This 517-nucleotide ribosomal RNA is filed under the name uncultured Pleosporales. RNAcentral describes it as "eukaryotic LSU rRNA". The stretch from base 152 to 305 matches the Rfam family "5.8S ribosomal RNA". Lineage: Eukaryota; Fungi; Ascomycota; Dothideomycetes; Pleosporales. The record is from RNAcentral.